AUUGAACGCUGGCGGCAUGCCUUACACAUGCAAGUCGAACGGCAGCACGGACUUCGGUCUGGUGGCGAGUGGCGAACGGGUGAGUAAUAUAUCGGAACAUACCUUGUAGUGGGGGAUAACUAUCCGAAAGGAUAGCUAAUACCGCAUACGCUCUAAGGAGGAAAGUGGGGGAUCGCAAGACCUCAUGCUAUAAGAGUGGCCGAUAUCUGAUUAGCUAGUUGGUGAGGUAAAGGCUCACCAAGGCAACGAUCAGUAGCUGGUCUGAGAGGACGACCAGCCACACUGGAACUGAGACACGGGCCAGACUCCUACGGGAGGCAGCAGUGGGGAAUUUUGGACAAUGGGGGCAACCCUGAUCCAGCAAUGCCGCGUGAGUGAAGAAGGCCUUCGGGUUGUAAAGCUCUUUUGUCAGGGAAGAAACGGUUGUGGCUAAUAUCCAUGGCUAAUGACGGUACCUGAAGAAUAAGCACCGGCUAACUACGUGCCAGCAGCCGCCGUAA
RNAcentral lists this ribosomal RNA (500 nucleotides) under uncultured bacterium. RNAcentral's name for it is "partial 16S ribosomal RNA". It matches the Rfam family "Bacterial small subunit ribosomal RNA", at positions 30 to 523 of the family's 1533-position model. The record is from RNAcentral.